This 2930-nucleotide ribosomal RNA is filed under the name Escherichia coli. RNAcentral's name for it is "23S ribosomal RNA". It matches the Rfam family "Bacterial large subunit ribosomal RNA". The record is from RNAcentral. Lineage: Bacteria; Pseudomonadati; Pseudomonadota; Gammaproteobacteria; Enterobacterales; Enterobacteriaceae.
GGGUUGUGAGGUUAAGCGACUAAGCGUACACGGUGGAUGCCCUGGCAGUCAGAGGCGAUGAAGGACGUGCUAAUCUGCGAUAAGCGUCGGUAAGGUGAUAUGAACCGUUAUAACCGGCGAUUUCCGAAUGGGGAAACCCAGUGUGUUUCGACACACUAUCAUUAACUGAAUCCAUAGGUUAAUGAGGCGAACCGGGGGAACUGAAACAUCUAAGUACCCCGAGGAAAAGAAAUCAACCGAGAUUCCCCCAGUAGCGGCGAGCGAACGGGGAGCAGCCCAGAGCCUGAAUCAGUGUGUGUGUUAGUGGAAGCGUCUGGAAAGGCGCGCGAUACAGGGUGACAGCCCCGUACACAAAAAUGCACAUGCUGUGAGCUCGAUGAGUAGGGCGGGACACGUGGUAUCCUGUCUGAAUAUGGGGGGACCAUCCUCCAAGGCUAAAUACUCCUGACUGACCGAUAGUGAACCAGUACCGUGAGGGAAAGGCGAAAAGAACCCCGGCGAGGGGAGUGAAAAAGAACCUGAAACCGUGUACGUACAAGCAGUGGGAGCACGCUUAGGCGUGUGACUGCGUACCUUUUGUAUAAUGGGUCAGCGACUUAUAUUCUGUAGCAAGGUUAACCGAAUAGGGGAGCCGAAGGGAAACCGAGUCUUAACUGGGCGUUAAGUUGCAGGGUAUAGACCCGAAACCCGGUGAUCUAGCCAUGGGCAGGUUGAAGGUUGGGUAACACUAACUGGAGGACCGAACCGACUAAUGUUGAAAAAUUAGCGGAUGACUUGUGGCUGGGGGUGAAAGGCCAAUCAAACCGGGAGAUAGCUGGUUCUCCCCGAAAGCUAUUUAGGUAGCGCCUCGUGAAUUCAUCUCCGGGGGUAGAGCACUGUUUCGGCAAGGGGGUCAUCCCGACUUACCAACCCGAUGCAAACUGCGAAUACCGGAGAAUGUUAUCACGGGAGACACACGGCGGGUGCUAACGUCCGUCGUGAAGAGGGAAACAACCCAGACCGCCAGCUAAGGUCCCAAAGUCAUGGUUAAGUGGGAAACGAUGUGGGAAGGCCCAGACAGCCAGGAUGUUGGCUUAGAAGCAGCCAUCAUUUAAAGAAAGCGUAAUAGCUCACUGGUCGAGUCGGCCUGCGCGGAAGAUGUAACGGGGCUAAACCAUGCACCGAAGCUGCGGCAGCGACGCUGAUGCGUUGUUGGGUAGGGGAGCGUUCUGUAAGCCUGCGAAGGUGUGCUGUGAGGCAUGCUGGAGGUAUCAGAAGUGCGAAUGCUGACAUAAGUAACGAUAAAGCGGGUGAAAAGCCCGCUCGCCGGAAGACCAAGGGUUCCUGUCCAACGUUAAUCGGGGCAGGGUGAGUCGACCCCUAAGGCGAGGCCGAAAGGCGUAGUCGAUGGGAAACAGGUUAAUAUUCCUGUACUUGGUGUUACUGCGAAGGGGGGACGGAGAAGGCUAUGUUGGCCGGGCGACGGUUGUCCCGGUUUAAGCGUGUAGGCUGGUUUUCCAGGCAAAUCCGGAAAAUCAAGGCUGAGGCGUGAUGACGAGGCACUACGGUGCUGAAGCAACAAAUGCCCUGCUUCCAGGAAAAGCCUCUAAGCAUCAGGUAACAUCAAAUCGUACCCCAAACCGACACAGGUGGUCAGGUAGAGAAUACCAAGGCGCUUGAGAGAACUCGGGUGAAGGAACUAGGCAAAAUGGUGCCGUAACUUCGGGAGAAGGCACGCUGAUAUGUAGGUGAGGUCCCUCGCGGAUGGAGCUGAAAUCAGUCGAAGAUACCAGCUGGCUGCAACUGUUUAUUAAAAACACAGCACUGUGCAAACACGAAAGUGGACGUAUACGGUGUGACGCCUGCCCGGUGCCGGAAGGUUAAUUGAUGGGGUUAGCGCAAGCGAAGCUCUUGAUCGAAGCCCCGGUAAACGGCGGCCGUAACUAUAACGGUCCUAAGGUAGCGAAAUUCCUUGUCGGGUAAGUUCCGACCUGCACGAAUGGCGUAAUGAUGGCCAGGCUGUCUCCACCCGAGACUCAGUGAAAUUGAACUCGCUGUGAAGAUGCAGUGUACCCGCGGCAAGACGGAAAGACCCCGUGAACCUUUACUAUAGCUUGACACUGAACAUUGAGCCUUGAUGUGUAGGAUAGGUGGGAGGCUUAGAAGUGUGGACGCCAGUCUGCAUGGAGCCGACCUUGAAAUACCACCCUUUAAUGUUUGAUGUUCUAACGUUGACCCGUAAUCCGGGUUGCGGACAGUGUCUGGUGGGUAGUUUGACUGGGGCGGUCUCCUCCUAAAGAGUAACGGAGGAGCACGAAGGUUGGCUAAUCCUGGUCGGACAUCAGGAGGUUAGUGCAAUGGCAUAAGCCAGCUUGACUGCGAGCGUGACGGCGCGAGCAGGUGCGAAAGCAGGUCAUAGUGAUCCGGUGGUUCUGAAUGGAAGGGCCAUCGCUCAACGGAUAAAAGGUACUCCGGGGAUAACAGGCUGAUACCGCCCAAGAGUUCAUAUCGACGGCGGUGUUUGGCACCUCGAUGUCGGCUCAUCACAUCCUGGGGCUGAAGUAGGUCCCAAGGGUAUGGCUGUUCGCCAUUUAAAGUGGUACGCGAGCUGGGUUUAGAACGUCGUGAGACAGUUCGGUCCCUAUCUGCCGUGGGCGCUGGAGAACUGAGGGGGGCUGCUCCUAGUACGAGAGGACCGGAGUGGACGCAUCACUGGUGUUCGGGUUGUCAUGCCAAUGGCACUGCCCGGUAGCUAAAUGCGGAAGAGAUAAGUGCUGAAAGCAUCUAAGCACGAAACUUGCCCCGAGAUGAGUUCUCCCUGACUCCUUGAGAGUCCUGAAGGAACGUUGAAGACGACGACGUUGAUAGGCCGGGUGUGUAAGCGCAGCGAUGCAUUGAGCUAACCGGUACUAAUGAACCGUGAGGCUUAACCUUACAACGCCGAAGCUGUU